GGGGUUGUGGCUCAGUGGUAGAGCACUCACCUAGCAUGUGUGAGGCACUGGGUUCAAUCCACAGCACCA
This 69-nucleotide transfer RNA is filed under the name Ictidomys tridecemlineatus (thirteen-lined ground squirrel). RNAcentral describes it as "Spermophilus tridecemlineatus (thirteen-lined ground squirrel) tRNA". It matches the Rfam family "tRNA". Rfam says of the family: Transfer RNA (tRNA) molecules are approximately 80 nucleotides in length. The record is from Rfam by way of RNAcentral. Lineage: Eukaryota; Metazoa; Chordata; Mammalia; Rodentia; Sciuridae.